UGAGAUGUCCAACAGGUGGUGGUGGAGAUGCUUCCAUCUCCUCCAGCCUGGAGUCCAGCUGGCCAGCUGGGCCCCCACUGUGGGCCUCUCCUUCAGUCCAGCCUCCUGCGCAGCCAGGAGGCCUUCCCCGGGCCCAGCUUCCAUCCCUCCUCCCUUCAGCCGUGUGGCUGCGGCGUUGCUUCCUGAGUAGAGGAGGCCUGGGCCCAUGGUCCCCAUGGACCCUUCUGGCUCUAACAUUCUACAGCUGUGUGCUUCGUGGGCUUAUGGUGCCUCAGAAUCAAAGUCAGGCAUUCGAGGACCCCCGGGGGGGUUAGCAGUCAUGAUGCCUUUUAUUUGAAAAGUGCUUCAUAAUCCUCAGGGACACCCCCUCCACAUCUGUCCCAAGCUGCCUGCCUGGCCCCACCUCCUUGAGCACAGGUCCUGGUCCUACUGCCUUGAUAAACCCACUGCUGGUGACAUGCGUCCCAUGCUUGCUCUGCCGCUGAGCUGCUGUCCUGGGGCUCCUCCACCCCUUGGCAUUCAUCACACACUGGCUUGAAUCAAUAGAUAGCUUUCUUCUCUUGGAAUAAAUAUCUUUCUGGCUGGGUGCAGUGGCUCACGCCUAUAAUCCCAACACUUUGGGAGGCCAAGGAGGAUGGGUUACAUGAGUUCAGGAGUUCGAGAGAGACCAGCCUCUCCAACAUGGUGAAACUCAGUCUCUACUAAAAAUACAAAAAAUUAGCCGGUUGUGGGGAUGCACACCUGUAAUCCCAGCUUCUCAGGAGGCUGAAGCACGGGAAUCACUUGAACCUGGGAGAUGGAGGCUGCAAUGAGCCGAGAUCGCGCCACUGUACUCCAGCCUGGGCAACAGAGAAGAAUUAUGCAUUCAGAGGAAGUUGCAAAAAAUAGCACAGAGACUUCUAUUUCUGGAAAGAUGGAGAAGAUAUACUUUUCCCUAUUUCUCCCGCUAGGUACAAUCCCAAACCCCAGACAUUAAAUAUGAAACAAACAUAAGAAUAUUCUGAGAGAAGGCCGGGUGAAGUGGCUCAUGCCUAUAAUCCCAGCACUUUGGGAGGCCAAGGCGGGUGGAUCAUUUGAGGUCAGGAGUUUCAGACCAACCUGGCCAACAUGGUGAAAUCCUGUCUCUACUAAAAAUACCAAAAAAUUAUCCAGGCAUGGUAGCGCAUGCCUGUAAUCUCAGCUCCUCAGGAGGCUGAAGCAAGAGAAUCGCUUGAACCCAGAAGGCGGAGGUUGCAGUGAGCUGAGAUCAUGCCACUGCACUCCAGCAUGGGUGACAGAGGGAGACUCCAUCUAAAAAGAAAAAAAGAAAAAAGAAAAUCCUAAGAAGGCAAAUCGACUAGGGACCACAGGACCCAGGGAGCCAGCAUGAUGGUGGGCUCUCUGGGUCUUCCUUCUGCCUUGUAUAUAUAUUAUGAAGUUGGAGCUAGGGGAGCUGGCAUCUAGAAAUGCCAAGAGGCCCAGACAAAAACAAGUCCCACCAAAAGCCUGUUCUCUCUCACCAAAGGACUAGCAGAGGGGCAGUCCAGCAAGACAGAAAACUUAGACAAUAACUGCUCUAGCUAAACACCACAGAAAGAAAACAUCACCCCACCCACACCCACGAGAGGCUGUAAUGAGGUGCCCCACCAUCCUCAGUGAGCUGGAACUGGAGAAGGUCAGGUGGAGAGCCAGGUCUUUCAUCCCUGCCAGCUAGUGAUGAGGCUCCCCCAACUCAUGGUGUCAGUGGAGACACACAGAGAGUCUGGGCUUCCACCCCCACCUGGCAUUAGCAAGGCAUCCCUCCUCAUCUGCAAUGGGGCGGUACCCUAGGAGGCCUAGCAGAGAGCCAGGACUCUUUAUGAUGGCCCAGCGGUAACGAGGCCACUCCUUCCCGCCAUCCCAAGGCUUCAGAUGGGAAGAAGUGAUAAGGCAUUUUCAUUUCACCCACCAGGAAAGUAUCAGUGGAGGUUAGCAGGGAGCCUGAACUCCCUCCCUGAUCCAGCAGCAAUGAGGAGCGCAGCACCCUCAACAUUCAGGUGUCAACAAAGGCUAAGUGAGAAACUUGGACUUCUGCCACCAUCUGGCAGUAAUAAGGCAGUGCCCCUUAGGUUCCCCUGCCUGAACAGUGUCAGAGAAAGUCAGCUGAAACAGAAGGUUUAAGUAAUAUCCAGAAUCUUGUUUGUUUUG
This 2166-nucleotide long non-coding RNA is filed under the name Homo sapiens (human). RNAcentral describes it as "HSALNT0278753". The record is from RNAcentral. Lineage: Eukaryota; Metazoa; Chordata; Mammalia; Primates; Hominidae.